GGAAGUGUAGCUCGGUGGUAGAGUGUAUGCUUAGCAUGUGUGAGGGUCUGUGUUCAAUCCCCAGCACCCCCA
RNAcentral lists this transfer RNA (72 nucleotides) under Heterocephalus glaber (naked mole-rat). It matches the Rfam family "tRNA". Rfam says of the family: Transfer RNA (tRNA) molecules are approximately 80 nucleotides in length. Lineage: Eukaryota; Metazoa; Chordata; Mammalia; Rodentia; Bathyergidae. The record is from Rfam by way of RNAcentral.